CAGCACCUCAAGUGGUCAGGAUGAUUAUUGGGCCUAAAGCAUCCGUAGCCGGCUCUGUAAGUUUUCGGUUAAAUCAGUAUGCUCAACAUACAGGCUGCCGGGAAUACUGCAGAGCUAGGGAGUGGGAGAGGUAGACGGUACUCGGUAGGAAGGGGUAAAAUCCUUUGAUCUAUUGAUGACCACCUGUGGCGAAGGCGGUCUACCAGAACACGUCCGACGGUGAGGGAUGAAAGCUGGGGGAGCAAACCGGAUUAGAUACCCGAGUAGUCC
Molecule: ribosomal RNA, 270 nt
Filed under: uncultured archaeon
Lineage: Archaea
Description: partial 16S ribosomal RNA
Rfam family: Archaeal small subunit ribosomal RNA
Source: RNAcentral